CGAAAGUCUGACGAGCAACGCCGCGUGAGUGAUGAAGGUUUUCGGAUUCGUAAAGCUCUGUUGUUAGGGAAGAACAAGUACCGUUCGAAUAGGGCGGUACCUUGACGGUACCUAACCCAGAAAAGCCACGGCUAACUACGUGCCAGCAGCCGCGGUAAUACGUAGGUGGCAAGCGUUGUCCGGGAAUUAUUGGGCGUAAAGGGCUCGCAGGCGGUUUCUUAAGUCUGAUGUGAAAGCCCCCCGGCUCAACCGGGGAGGGUCAUUGGAAACUGGGGAACUUGAGUGCAGAAGAGGAGAGUGGAAUUUCCACGUGUAGCGGUGAAAUGCGUAGAGAUGUGGAGGAACACCAGUGGCGAAGGCGACUCUCUGGUCUGUAACUGACGCUGAGGAGCGAAAGCGUGGGGAGCGAACAGGAUUAGAUACCCUGGUAGUCCACGCCGUAAACGAUGACUGCUAAGUGUUAGGGGGUUUCCGCCCCUUAGUGCUGCAGCUAACGCAUUAAGCACUCCGCCUGGGGAGUACGGUCGCAAGACUGAAACUCAAAGGAAUUGACGGGGGCCCGCACAAGCGGUGGAGCAUGUGGUUUAAUUCGAAGCAACGCGAAGAACCUUACCAGGUCUUGACAUCCUCUGACAAUCCUAGAGAUAGGACGUCCCCUUCGGGGGCAGAGUGACAGGUGGUGCAUGGUUGUCGUCAGCUCGUGUCGUGAGAUGUUGGGUUAAGUCCCGCAACGAGCGCAACCCUUGAUCUUAGUUGCCAGCAUUCAGUUGGGCACUCUAAGGUGACUGCCGGUGACAAACCGGAGGAAGGUGGGGAUGACGUCAAAUCAUCAUGCCCCUUAUGACCUGGGCUACACACGUGCUACAAUGGACAGAAC
RNAcentral lists this ribosomal RNA (877 nucleotides) under Bacillus velezensis. Its description in RNAcentral is "bacterial SSU rRNA". It matches the Rfam family "Bacterial small subunit ribosomal RNA", at positions 376 to 1240 of the family's 1533-position model. The record is from RNAcentral. Lineage: Bacteria; Bacillati; Bacillota; Bacilli; Caryophanales; Bacillaceae.